RNAcentral lists this ribosomal RNA (1321 nucleotides) under metagenome. Its description in RNAcentral is "bacterial LSU rRNA". It matches the Rfam family "Bacterial large subunit ribosomal RNA", at positions 1584 to 2925 of the family's 2925-position model. The record is from RNAcentral.
CACCGAAGUCCGGGAUGGAAGAUGGCGAGAAAAGCUGUGUGUAUUUCUGCGGUGCCCGUACCGCAAACCGACACAGGUAGGUAGGAAGAAGAUUCUAAGGCCAACGGGAGAAGGGUUGUUAAGGAACUCGGCAAAUUGACCCCGUAACUUCGGGAGAAGGGGUGCUCCAGAGAUGGAGCCGCAGAGAAUCGGCCCAAGCAACUGUUUACCAAAAACACAGGUUUGUGCUAAAUCGAAAGAUGACGUAUACGAGCUGACGCCUGCCCGGUGCUGGAAGGUUAAGAGGAGAUGUGCAAGCAUUGAAUCGAAGCCCCAGUGAACGGCGGCCGUAACUAUAACGGUCCUAAGGUAGCGAAAUUCCUUGUCAGGUAAGUUCUGACCCGCAUGAAAGGCGUAAUGAUUUGGGCACUGUCUCGACAGCCCGCCCGGCGAAAUUGUAGUACCGGUGAAGAUGCCGGUUACCCGCGACAAGACGGAAAGACCCCAUGGAGCUUUACUGUAGCCUAAUAUUGGGUUUCGAUGUUGCAUGCACAGGAUAGAUGGGACACUAGGAAGCAAGUGCUUUGGCAUUUGUGGAGUGGCCGUUGGGAUACCAUCCUUGCGAUAUUGGAAUUCUAACCUGCGCCUUUGAAUCAAGGCGGGGGACAUUGUUAGGUGGGCAGUUUGACUGGGGCGGUCGCCUCCUAAAGAGUAACGGAGGCGUUCAAAGGUUCGCUCAGCUUGAACGGAAAUCAAGCAAAAGAGUGCAAACGCAGAAGCGAGCCUAACUGCGAGACUGACGGGUCGAGCAGUAACGAAAGUUGGAGUUAGUGAUCCGGUGGUAUGUGAGUGGAAAUGCCAUCGCUCAACGGAUAAAAGUUACCCUGGGGAUAACAGGCUGAUCUCCCCCAAGAGUCCACAUCGACGGGGAGGUUUGGCACCUCGAUGUCGGCUCAUCGCAUCCUGGGGCUGUAUUCGGUCCCAAGGGUUUGGCUGUUCGCCAAUUAAAGCGGUACGCGAGCUGGGUUCAGAACGUCGUGAGACAGUUCGGUCCCUAUCUGUCGUGGGCGCAGGAUAUUUGAUGGGAGCUGUUCCUAGUACGAGAGGACCGGAGCGGACGUACCUCUGGCGCACCAGUUGUUCUGCCAAGGGCAUAGCUGGGCAACUAUGUACGGAUCGGAUAAACGCUGAAAGCAUCUAAGCGUGAAGCCGACCCAAAGAUAAGAUAUCCCAUUGUUUCAAACAAGUAAGACCCCUUGAAGACUACAAGGUUGAUAGGCAUGAUGUGUAAGUGGAGUGAUCCAUUCAGCAAGCAUGUACUAAUAGGUCGAGGGCUUGACAU